This 69-nucleotide transfer RNA is filed under the name Craugastor angelicus. Its description in RNAcentral is "tRNA-Val". Lineage: Eukaryota; Metazoa; Chordata; Amphibia; Anura; Craugastoridae. The record is from RNAcentral.
CGUAAUAUAGCUUAACAAAAGCAUCUUGUUUACACCAAGAAGAUGUUCUGCACACCGGACUAUUACGAG